GGGUCCAUGGUCUAGUGGCUAUGACAUCACCUUCACAUGGUGAAGAUCGUCGGUUCAAAUCCGACUGGACCCA
RNAcentral lists this transfer RNA (73 nucleotides) under Candidatus Woesearchaeota archaeon. RNAcentral describes it as "tRNA-Val". It matches the Rfam family "tRNA". Rfam says of the family: Transfer RNA (tRNA) molecules are approximately 80 nucleotides in length. The record is from RNAcentral. Lineage: Archaea; Nanobdellati; Candidatus Woesearchaeota.